Transfer RNA from Sus scrofa (pig), 73 nucleotides. It matches the Rfam family "tRNA". Rfam says of the family: Transfer RNA (tRNA) molecules are approximately 80 nucleotides in length. Their secondary structure includes four short double-helical elements and three loops (D, anti-codon, and T loops). NCBI's taxonomy places the organism in Eukaryota, Metazoa, Chordata, Mammalia, Artiodactyla, Suidae. The record is from Rfam.
UCCCUGGUGGCCUAGUGGUUAAAGAUUCGGCAUUGUCACUGCUGCGGCCCAGGUUCAAACCCUGGCCCUGGAA